AAGGGUAUAGCUCAGUGGAAGAGUGCUGUGCUUAGCAUGCAUGAGGUCCUUGGUUCAAGCCCCAGUACCUCCA
RNAcentral lists this transfer RNA (73 nucleotides) under Camelus bactrianus (Bactrian camel). It matches the Rfam family "tRNA". Rfam says of the family: Transfer RNA (tRNA) molecules are approximately 80 nucleotides in length. Their secondary structure includes four short double-helical elements and three loops (D, anti-codon, and T loops). The record is from Rfam by way of RNAcentral. RNAcentral also lists the same sequence under 2 other names. Lineage: Eukaryota; Metazoa; Chordata; Mammalia; Artiodactyla; Camelidae.